RNAcentral lists this RNase P RNA (316 nucleotides) under Ulvibacterium marinum. RNAcentral describes it as "Bacterial RNase P class A". It matches the Rfam family "Bacterial RNase P class A". Rfam says of the family: Ribonuclease P (RNase P) is a ubiquitous endoribonuclease, found in archaea, bacteria and eukarya as well as chloroplasts and mitochondria. Its best characterised activity is the generation of mature 5'-ends of tRNAs by cleaving the 5'-leader elements of precursor-tRNAs. The record is from Rfam by way of RNAcentral. Lineage: Bacteria; Pseudomonadati; Bacteroidota; Flavobacteriia; Flavobacteriales; Flavobacteriaceae.
GGAGCAGGUCACCUUAUCGCCCCCGAUAGCUAUCGGGGGAGGAAAGUCCGGACACCAUAAUGCGGCAUAGCGGGUAACGCCCGUCUUCCCAUACCAUAUGGGAAAGGACCAGUGCAACAGAAAGUAUGUACAGAUAAUGCUGUAGUGAAAUCAGGUAAACUCUAUGCGGUGAAACGCCACAUAUACCGGCGUUAUGAGGGUUGCAUGCCCAAGCCGAAGGGUAGGCGGAUGGAGCUUUUGGGUGACCAAAAGCCUAGAUAAAUGAUAAGGGUCCGUAUUAACGGAAACAGAAUUCGGCUUAUGGCCUGCUUUUUUA